Molecule: ribosomal RNA, 965 nt
Filed under: Limosilactobacillus vaginalis
Lineage: Bacteria; Bacillati; Bacillota; Bacilli; Lactobacillales; Lactobacillaceae
Description: bacterial SSU rRNA
Rfam family: Bacterial small subunit ribosomal RNA
Source: RNAcentral
AGAGUUUGAUCAUGGCUCAGGAUGAACGCCGGCGGUGUGCCUAAUACAUGCAAGUCGAGCGCACUGGCCCAACUGAUAUGACGUGCUUGCACUGAAUUGACGUUGGAUUCCCAGUGAGCGGCGGACGGGUGAGUAACACGUGGGCAACCUGCCCUGAAGCGGGGGAUAACAUCUGGAAACAGGUGCUAAUACCGCAUAACAACGAAAACCACAUGGUUUUCGUUUCAAAGAUGGUUUCGGCUAUCACUUAGGAUGGGCCCGCGGUGCAUUAGCUAGUUGGUAAGGUAACGGCUUACCAAGGCGAUGAUGCAUAGCCGAGUUGAGAGACUGUUCGGCCACAAUGGAACUGAGACACGGUCCAUACUCCUACGGGAGGCAGCAGUAGGGAAUCUUCCACAAUGGGCGCAAGCCUGAUGGAGCAACACCGCGUGAGUGAAGAAGGGUUUCGGCUCGUAAAGCUCUGUUGUUGGAGAAGAACGUGCGUGAGAGUAACUGUUCACGCAGUGACGGUAUCCAACCAGAAAGUCACGGCUAACUACGUGCCAGCAGCCGCGGUAAUACGUAGGUGGCAAGCGUUAUCCGGAUUUAUUGGGCGUAAAGCGAGCGCAGGCGGUUGCUUAGGUCUGAUGUGAAAGCCUUCGGCUUAACCGAAGAAGUGCAUCGGAAACCGGGCGACUUGAGUGCAGAAGAGGACAGUGGAACUCCAUGUGUAGCGGUGGAAUGCGUAGAUAUAUGGAAGAACAUCAGUGGCGAAGGCGGCUGUCUGGUCUGCAACUGACGCUGAGGCUCGAAAGCAUGGGUAGCGAACAGGAUUAGAUACCCUGGUAGUCCAUGCCGUAAACGAUGAGUGCUAGGUGUUGGAGGGUUUCCGCCCUUCAGUGCCGGAGCUAACGCAUUAAGCACUCCGCCUGGGGAGUACGACCGCAAGGUUGAAACUCAAAGGAAUUGACGGGGGCCCGCACAAG